Long non-coding RNA from Pipistrellus kuhlii (Kuhl's pipistrelle), 155 nucleotides. RefSeq lists it as uncharacterized. The record is from RefSeq and is a predicted model, not a curated record. Lineage: Eukaryota; Metazoa; Chordata; Mammalia; Chiroptera; Vespertilionidae. The transcript has 2 exons.
AAAUCUAUGGCUUUUUUAUACACCAACAAUGAACUCACAGAAAGAAAACAAAAAAAAACAAUCCCAUUUACCAUUGCAACAAAAACAUUAGAUACCUAGGAAUGAAUUUACUAAGGAGGUAAAAGACCUGUACUCAGUAAACUACAGGAAGUUGA